GAUGAACGCUGGCGGCGUGCCUAAUACAUGCAAGUCGAGCGAACAGACGAGGAGCUUGCUCCUCUGACGUUAGCGGCGGACGGGUGAGUAACACGUGGAUAACCUACCUAUAAGACUGGGGUAACUUCGGGAAACCGGAGCUAAUACCGGAUAAUAUAUUGAACCGCAUGGUUCAAUAGUGAAAGACGGUUUUGCUGUCACUUAUAGAUGGAUCCGCGCCGCAUUAGCUAGUUGGUAAGGUAACGGCUUACCAAGGCAACGAUGCGUAGCCGACCUGAGAGGGUGAUCGGCCACACUGGAACUGAGACACGGUCCAGACUCCUACGGGAGGCAGCAGUAGGGAAUCUUCCGCAAUGGGCGAAAGCCUGACGGAGCAACGCCGCGUGAGUGAUGAAGGUCUUCGGAUCGUAAAACUCUGUUAUUAGGGAAGAACAAAUGUGUAAGUAACUAUGCACGUCUUGACGGUACCUAAACAGAAAGCCACGGCUAACUACGUG
Molecule: ribosomal RNA, 497 nt
Filed under: uncultured bacterium
Lineage: Bacteria
Description: partial 16S ribosomal RNA
Rfam family: Bacterial small subunit ribosomal RNA
Source: RNAcentral